CAUUAUGUAGUAGCAUUUUUAUAAUAAAAUGAACAUAAAAAAUUAAAAUAAAAGAAAAUUAAACAAGACUUAAUUAACCAAAAUAAAAUCGAAAAGAAAACAUAGAAAAAACUAAUUAAUUAUUACAAACAUUUUGGCAAAGAAAUAAAAAAAAUUGGAUAAAAAACAAACAAAAAUCGGGCUCAAAAAUGUUCGAAAAAAAACUGAAUGCGCCAACAUUAUCAACGCGAAACAAACUUCUCGGGAACAUACAUGUUUUGAUCAGAUUUUGAAAUAAAAAAUGAUCGGUAAAAAGGCUCAAGUUGAUUAAAAUAUGAUCAAAAAAGUAGUCGAAAAAUUCGAAUGAGCACACCAGGUUAAACUACGUGUAACGCAAAUUAAUAAAA
This 386-nucleotide long non-coding RNA is filed under the name Lathyrus oleraceus (garden pea). RNAcentral's name for it is "Pisum sativum (pea) long non-coding RNA (PSAT_LNC002234)". Lineage: Eukaryota; Viridiplantae; Streptophyta; Magnoliopsida; Fabales; Fabaceae. The record is from RNAcentral.